GCUCUUGUUUCUUUGGUUUCAUAACCAUUGUUCUCCAUGUAGUCCAAGUGUAUCAAAUAACGUCGCACCUAUAUAUAUAUAUAUAUAUAUAUAUUGACGAAGAUUCCUCAACUAAAUACAUUGUUAUAUAUGUUGGAGUUAUGGUAUAAUGGAGGUUGGUCUUACUUGCAAAAACAUAGCGUCGCAUCAAAAUAUUUAUCAAUUGCAAUAUUUUGACAGAUAUAAGUGGAGAUUCUUAGGAUUUGGGAAGCAUGCUUGCUCCACGGAAACUAUUAUGUGGUGGUUUCCUGGGGGGACUCAGGCCAAUCC
This 309-nucleotide long non-coding RNA is filed under the name Elaeis guineensis (African oil palm). RNAcentral describes it as "long non-coding RNA (EGUI_LNC021105)". The record is from RNAcentral. Lineage: Eukaryota; Viridiplantae; Streptophyta; Magnoliopsida; Arecales; Arecaceae.